RNAcentral lists this long non-coding RNA (257 nucleotides) under Mytilus galloprovincialis (Mediterranean mussel). Lineage: Eukaryota; Metazoa; Mollusca; Bivalvia; Mytilida; Mytilidae. The record is from RNAcentral.
GGCAUUUACUCAGCUGUUUAUUGCAGUUUCUUAACAAUAAGGGCGGGAAAAUUCAUGACAUUAGCCAAGCUUUAAAUGACAAAAUCGUGAAAAUGGUGCAUAUGUUGAAAAGCGGUGAACUCGGUUUAUGUCCGUUCAAAAUUACCGUUACUUCGCAUUUGUUCCAAAAAUCACUCAACCGUAAAGUUGUCGACAAUUGUCUUAAAAGUCAUUUUCAACCAACUAUACAAAGUUCUAAUAUAAAUAAAAUAAAAAUU